RNAcentral lists this ribosomal RNA (627 nucleotides) under uncultured Burkholderiales bacterium. RNAcentral's name for it is "bacterial SSU rRNA". It matches the Rfam family "Bacterial small subunit ribosomal RNA", at positions 35 to 655 of the family's 1533-position model. Lineage: Bacteria; Pseudomonadati; Pseudomonadota; Betaproteobacteria; Burkholderiales. The record is from RNAcentral.
GCUGGCGGCAUGCCUUACACAUGCAAGUCGAACGGCAGCACGGGAGCAAUCCUGGUGGCGAGUGGCGAACGGGUGAGUAAUAUAUCGGAACGUGCCCAGUCGUGGGGGAUAACGUAGAGAAAUUUACGCUAAUACCGCAUACGAUCUAAGGAUGAAAGCGGGGGAUUCGCAAGGACCUCGCGCGAUUGGAGCGGCUGAUAUCAGAUUAGCUUGUUGGUGAGGUAAAGGCUCACCAAGGCGACGAUCUGUAGCUGGUUUGAGAGAACGACCAGCCACACUGGGACUGAGACACGGCCCAGACUCCUACGGGAGGCAGCAGUGGGGAAUUUUGGACAAUGGGCGAAAGCCUGAUCCAGCAAUGCCGCGUGCAGGAAGAAGGCCUUCGGGUUGUAAACUGCUUUUGUACGGAACGAAAAGGUCUGCCCUAAUACGGCGGGCCUAUGACGGUACCGUAAGAAUAAGCACCGGCUAACUACGUGCCAGCAGCCGCGGUAAUACGUAGGGUGCGAGCGUUAAUCGGAAUUACUGGGCGUAAAGCGUGCGCAGGCGGUGAUGCAAGACAGUUGUGAAAUCCCCGGGCUCAACCUGGGAAUUGCAUCUGUGACUGCAUCGCUAGAGUACGGUAGA